Molecule: unclassified non-coding RNA, 431 nt
Filed under: plant metagenome
Description: partial contains 5.8S ribosomal RNA, internal transcribed spacer 2, and large subunit ribosomal RNA
Rfam family: 5.8S ribosomal RNA (bases 1-102)
Source: RNAcentral
AAACUGCGAUAAGUAGUGUGAAUUGCAUUUAGUGAAUCAUCGAAUCUUUGAACGCACCUUGCACUCACUGGUAUUCCGGUGAGUACGCCUGUUUCAGUAUCAUUGAAAACACACAAUCAAAACAUUUUCUUUGGUUUGAUUGGCUUUGGGUCUAUCAAAAAGUUUGGCUUGUUUCUUACAAGCCAAGCGGCCUGAAAUAUAUUGCCUGGCUAAUUGCAUCGUUGAUGAUCGCUAUUAGACUUUGGCUUUUUUAAAUGAACUGGAGGUUGAUUAACCAGUUUUAGCUUUAGUCAAAUGGUCAUUGUAAAAAAAAUCUCGAUCUUGGCUAGGUGUUUAUAGCCGAAAAUUUUUUUUUGGCUAUAACCGAAACCAAUAUAAUCACAUUUAGUUAUCGAUCUGAAAUCAGGUGGGACUACCCGCUGAACUUAAGC